UUUUAUUUGAGAGUUUGAUCCUGGCUCAGGAUGAACGCUGGCGGCGUGCCUAACACAUGCAAGUUGAGCGAUUUACUUCGGUAAAGAGCGGCGGACGGGUGAGUAACGCGUGGGUAACCUACCCUGUACACACGGAUAACAUACCGAAAGGUAUGCUAAUACGGGAUAAUAUAUUUGAGAGGCAUCUCUUGAAUAUCAAAGGUGAGCCAGUACAGGAUGGACCCGCGUCUGAUUAGCUAGUUGGUAAGGUAACGGCUUACCAAGGCGACGAUCAGUAGCCGACCUGAGAGGGUGAUCGGCCACAUUGGAACUGAGACACGGUCCAAACUCCUACGGGAGGCAGCAGUGGGGAAUAUUGCACAAUGGGCGAAAGCCUGAUGCAGCAACGCCGCGUGAGUGAUGAAGGCCUUCGGGUCGUAAAACUCUGUCCUCAAGGAAGAUAAUGACGGUACUUGAGGAGGAAGCCCCGGCUAACUACGUGCCAGCAGCCGCGGUAAUACGUAGGGGGCUAGCGUUAUCCGGAUUUACUGGGCGUAAAGGGUGCGUAGGCGGUCUUUCAAGUCAGGAGUGAAAGGCUACGGCUCAACCGUAGUAAGCUCUUGAAACUGGGAGACUUGAGUGCAGGAGAGGAGAGUGGAAUUCCUAGUGUAGCGGUGAAAUGCGUAGAUAUUAGGAGGAACACCAGUUGCGAAGGCGGCUCUCUGGACUGUAACUGACGCUGAGGCACGAAAGCGUGGGGAGCAAACAGGAUUAGAUACCCUGGUAGUCCACGCUGUAAACGAUGAGUACUAGGUGUCGGGGGUUACCCCC
Molecule: ribosomal RNA, 810 nt
Filed under: Clostridioides difficile
Lineage: Bacteria; Bacillati; Bacillota; Clostridia; Peptostreptococcales; Peptostreptococcaceae
Description: bacterial SSU rRNA
Rfam family: Bacterial small subunit ribosomal RNA
Source: RNAcentral